GUGUAGCUGGACAUGGCUGGAUCAUCUGUUUGGCUCCGUGUCGCCUGCAUCGUCGCUGGUUGGGCUCCUGUCAUGAGCAAUAUCCCUGGAAAAACUGAGCAAGUCAAAGCAAAAGAACACCAAAAUAUCCUCCUUCAUUGCCUGACAAUCUGCACGGGUCAAGUUAGCUUUAUUGUUUGGUAUGUCUUUACAGAUACAUGGAAACCCAUUAACGAUGAUAGUGACAAAGAAACGCAUGUCAAUAAAUACAUUAAACAUGAUAACCACUCCCUUACCAUUGAAAAUCCUGACUGGAUGGGCUCUAGAUUGCACAGAUGUCAAUGGUCAUGUAAAUCUGAAGUUUUCUUUGUUGAUACAGAUAUUCUCAUAAUCAAAGGUGUGAAGAUGAACAAAAAUAUAAAAGCUAGAAUUGGGGAACAUAUCUCGAUUCCCUGCCAAACCAAUUCUGCAAGACAAAUCAACGGAAGUGUUAACUGGCAUGUUGCUCUACAAGGACAACCAUACUACCCUCUCUCAAUUGAUAGUAUGAGAACAAAAUAUUUCAAAAAUAGAACUGCAUCAUUGGUAAUUAAUGAUGUCAAUGGUAAAGAUGCAGGUGUUUACCUGUGUGAGCUAACCAUUCCUGGGGAAUUCUAUGAAACGAAGCUCG
Lethenteron reissneri (Far Eastern brook lamprey) is the source of this 649-nucleotide long non-coding RNA. RefSeq lists it as uncharacterized. Lineage: Eukaryota; Metazoa; Chordata; Hyperoartia; Petromyzontiformes; Petromyzontidae. The record is from RefSeq and is a predicted model, not a curated record.